UCAAUUUUCAUCAACCUGUUGUGAACACUACUUUUAAAUAAGUAAGUAGUAAUUUGGGGUUGGAGAACUUGCUUAACUUGAUAUAUCCCAGUUAAGUCAAAUUAGAAAAAAUAAUUUCUUGUACCCAGUGUCCUUUGGGCGUUCUAUCAGACAUGCGCAGAUCUGCCCUGCCCACUUUCGCGCUCUUUCCAACACCUUUCUCAGUUAUUUUCGCCAUUGUGGGUUUACUUGUCCUCAGUACACUGAUUUGGCACUGCUGCAAUCGUCACACUUUUUCUGUUACAAACUGACCCGGCCCCUCAUCAGAGAAGGGAAAAGUCAUGUGGCCUUCACAGGAAAAGGUUUGGGGACCCCUGCUUUAGAGUGUUUGUCAUCUGCCCUUCCAUUUGCUUUUCUUCAUGUGCAGUGCUCCCCCUCCAUGUUUGAUCAAACUGCACUGAUAAUUUGAAAUUGUUUUAAAAUGCAUUAAUCGCAAAAAUCAGAGGACUAGAUCACAUUUCCCCCUGUUAUUUCACCACUUUAACUUUGGUCUAACCUAAUAUAGGAAUACAGAUAGAAAGAGUGCAGAGAUCACACUCGACGCCAUAACAACCUGGUGUGUUUAAGGUUGGUCAUUUAUGUGCCUAUAUUUUGAAAUUGUUGCCUUAAUUUUGUGUUCUUUUUCACCAUCCCCCAAUCAGGCUGAAGCAAAUGGUCAAAAGUCCACACAUACCUCAGUCUCAGCAAUUACAGGUCAACCAAAGCAGUAUUCUCUAAUGCAGUGGACUUGCAAGUACUGCACAUUUUCUGCUGAAAAGAGCCUACUUGCUUAAGCAUUACCGCUUAAAACAUGGAUACCACACUCGGACAUCCCUACUCCCAUGUCUUCAUAAGGACUGCCUCUGCACAUUUAAAUCUUUUAAUGCACUCAAAGUACACCUAUCGACAUGGCACUCUCAAAAAGAUGCAGGCAAAAGUGGAGAAACUGCAUUUGACCGUCAGUUGUGCAACUUUGUGGAGCCCUGCUCAGAAGCAGACUUCUUUACCCAUUUGCGAGGACAUCUUAAGCUGAGGCAAAUGGUUACUUGCCCAUAUCAAGACUAACUUUCAGAGCAGUAUUUAUUCGACCUUCACUGCACACAAAAGCAAAGAAAUGUGAAAUGUGUUUGAGCCAUAGUGUGGGUAGGACAUUUGUGUCUAAAUCAUUCAAUCCCAAUAAAAGUUGCUUUAAUAAAAAAAAACUUAUUUUUAAUCAAAGAAAAAGAACCUUUUGCAAAAAUAUAUUUUUUUGAAAAUAUAUAUAUUUUUAAAUAUAUAUUUUUUUUAUUGACGUGUCACUUUUUUUUUUAAAGGAAAAAGUUUAA
This is a long non-coding RNA of Corythoichthys intestinalis (scribbled pipefish), 1343 nucleotides long. RefSeq lists it as uncharacterized. The transcript is spliced from 3 exons. The record is from RefSeq and is a predicted model, not a curated record. NCBI's taxonomy places the organism in Eukaryota, Metazoa, Chordata, Actinopteri, Syngnathiformes, Syngnathidae.